UCCAUUUUUAAAAGAGUAAGGGUUAGGGUUCUUGAGUGAAGGAAGAGAAGAAGAAGGUUUCUUGCAUCAAUUUUCGUGGGUUUUCUCAAUACUAAGGUUCCGGAAAGUGAGCGGGUUCCAUAGUAAGCUUGGAACUUGAAGUUCUUCCAAGAUCUUGUGGUAUGUCCUCAUAUGUCGAGGACAAGAGUUUUCUAUUCUAGUUUAUAAUAAGGUUCUUGUAAUAGACUUAAUAGACUUCUUUUGAUUGUAAAGGGCCGUGCCCCUAGUAUGUUUUCAUGUUUAUGUCUAAGAUGGCUAAGAGACUUAGUAUUCCGCUUGUGUACUUUUGAAUGAUGUUUUAAAAGUGACCUUUGAGUCUUAUGGGAUUUUAUUUAAAGAGUUUUUAAUUCCGCACUA
This is a long non-coding RNA of Solanum tuberosum (potato), 396 nucleotides long. RefSeq lists it as uncharacterized. The transcript is spliced from 2 exons. Lineage: Eukaryota; Viridiplantae; Streptophyta; Magnoliopsida; Solanales; Solanaceae. The record is from RefSeq and is a predicted model, not a curated record.